UGCCAGCAGCCGCGGUAACACAAAAAACGCAAGCGUUAUUCGGAAUUAUUAAACAUAGAGGGCGCGCAGGCGGUCUUGUCCGUCAGGUGUGAAAGCUCGGGGCUCAACCCCGGAAGUGCACUUGAAACAGCAAGACUUGAAUACGGUAGAGGAGAGAGGAAUUCCUGGUGUAGAGGUGAAAUUCGUAGAUAUCAGGAGGAACACCGAUGGCGAAAACAUCUCUCUGAACCGAUAUUGACGCUGAGGCGCGAAGGCGUGGGUAGCGAACGGGAUUAGAUA
Molecule: ribosomal RNA, 279 nt
Filed under: uncultured bacterium
Lineage: Bacteria
Description: partial 16S ribosomal RNA
Rfam family: Bacterial small subunit ribosomal RNA
Source: RNAcentral